Molecule: ribosomal RNA, 897 nt
Filed under: uncultured Methanosaeta sp.
Lineage: Archaea; Methanobacteriati; Methanobacteriota; Methanomicrobia; Methanotrichales; Methanotrichaceae
Description: bacterial SSU rRNA
Rfam family: Archaeal small subunit ribosomal RNA
Source: RNAcentral
UGGAUCGCCCUUUCUGUUUGAUCCUGCCAGAGGUUACUGCUAUCGAGGUUCGACUAAGCCAUGCGAGUCGAAUGUAGCAAUACAUGGCGAACUGCUCAGUAACACGUGGACAACCUGCCCUUAGGACGGGGAUAAACCCGGGAAACUGGGUAUAAUACCCGAUAGGUCUCGAUUGCUGGAAUGCAUCGAGAUUUAAAGCUCCGGCGCCUAAGGAUGGGUCUGCGGCCUAUCAGGUAGUAGUGGGUGUAGCGUACCUACUAGCCUACGACGGGUACGGGUUGUGAGAGCAAGAGCCCGGAGAUGGAUUCUGAGACGCGAAUCCAGGCCCUACGGGGUGCAGCAGGCGCGAAAACUUUACAAUGCUGGCAACAGCGAUAAGGGAACCUCGAGUGCCAGGUUACAAAUCUGGCUGUCGAGAUGCCUAAAAAGCAUUUCAUAGCAAGGGUCGGGCAAGACCGGUGCCAGCCGCCGCGGUAACACCGGCGGCUCGAGUGGUAACCGUUAUUAUUGGGUCUAAAGGGUCUGUAGCCGGCCGGAUAAGUCUCUUGAGAAAUCUGGCAGCUUAACUGUCAGGCUUUCAGGAGAUACUGUCUGGCUCGAGGCCGGGAGAGGUGAGAGGUACUUCAGGGGUAGGGGUGAAAUCUUGUAAUCCUUGAAGGACCACCAGUGGCGAAGGCGUCUCACCAGAACGGACCUGACGGCAAGGGACGAAAGCUAGGGGCACGAACCGGAUUAGAUACCCGGGUAGUCCUAGCCGUAAACGAUACUCGCUAGGUGUCGGCCACGGUGCGACCGUUGUCGGUGCCGUAGGGAAGCCGUGAAGCGAGCCACCUGGGAAGUACGGCCGCAAGGCUGAAACUUAAAGGAAUUGGCGGGGGGAGCACCACAACGGGUGGA